AUUGAACGCUGGCGGCAGGCCUAACACAUGCAAGUCGAACGGUAACAGGAAGCAGCUUGCUGCUUUGCUGACGAGUGGCGGACGGGUGAGUAAUGUCUGGGAAACUGCCCUAUGGAGGGGGAUAACUACUGGAAACGGUAGCUAAUACCGCAUAACGUCGCAAGACCAAAGAGGGGGACCUUAGGGCCUCUUGCCAUCGGAUGUGCCCAGAUGGGAUUAGCUAGUAGGUGGGGUAACGGCUCACCUAGGCGACGAUCCCUAGCUGGUCUGAGAGGAUGACCAGCCACACUGGAACUGAGACACGGUCCAGACUCCUACGGGAGGCAGCAGUGGGGAAUAUUGCACAAUGGGCGCAAGCCUGAUGCAGCCAUGCCGCGUGUAUGAAGAAGGCCUUCGGGUUGUAAAGUACUUUCAGCGGGGAGGAAGGGAGUAAAGUUAAUACCUUUGCUCAUUGACGUUACCCGCAGAAGAAGCACCGGCUAACUCCGUG
This 490-nucleotide ribosomal RNA is filed under the name uncultured bacterium. RNAcentral's name for it is "partial 16S ribosomal RNA". It matches the Rfam family "Bacterial small subunit ribosomal RNA", at positions 30 to 507 of the family's 1533-position model. The record is from RNAcentral.